This 238-nucleotide unclassified non-coding RNA is filed under the name Glomus sp. RNAcentral describes it as "partial contains 5.8S ribosomal RNA and internal transcribed spacer 2". The stretch from base 1 to 65 matches the Rfam family "5.8S ribosomal RNA", at positions 84 to 154 of the family's 154-position model. Lineage: Eukaryota; Fungi; Glomeromycota; Glomeromycetes; Glomerales; Glomeraceae. The record is from RNAcentral.
GUGAAUCAUCGAAUUUUUGAACGCAAAUUGCACUCUCUUCGGAGAGUAUGCCUGUUUGAGGGUCAGCCUAAAAAAAAAUCGACAUAGCCGCUGUUUCGCGGUGACAUUCGUCGGAAAUUGGGUCAUCUUAAACCUUUGGGUUUUAAUCGGCUUAAAAUUUUCUUUACGAUUCAUCGAACGUUUCUAAGAUUUUAUUUCUUACAGGUUUAUGGUAUCGAUCUUUUUUAGAUGUAGCUGU